UACGGGGGGGGCAAGCGUUGUUCGGAAUUAUUGGGCGUAAAGGGCUCGUAGGCGGCCAACUAAGUCGGACGUGAAAUCCCCAGGCUCAACCUGGGAACUGCGUCUGAUACUGGAUGGCUUGAAUCCGGGAGAGGGAUGCAGAAUUCCAGGUGUAGCGGUGAAAUGCGUAGAUAUCUGGAGGAAUACCGGUGGCGAAGGCGGCAUCCUGGACCGGCAUUGACGCUGAGGAGCGAAAGCCAGGGGAGCAAACGGG
RNAcentral lists this ribosomal RNA (253 nucleotides) under uncultured bacterium. Its description in RNAcentral is "partial 16S ribosomal RNA". It matches the Rfam family "Bacterial small subunit ribosomal RNA", at positions 524 to 776 of the family's 1533-position model. The record is from RNAcentral.